Molecule: ribosomal RNA, 611 nt
Filed under: uncultured bacterium
Lineage: Bacteria
Description: bacterial SSU rRNA
Rfam family: Bacterial small subunit ribosomal RNA (bases 1-520)
Source: RNAcentral
CCUACGGGAGCAGCAGUGGGGAAUAUUGGGCAAUGGGCGCAAGCCUGACCCAGCGACGCCGCGUGAGGGAUGAAGGCCUUCGGGUUGUAAACCUCUUUCAGCAGGGAAGAAGCGAAAGUGACGGUACCUGCAGAAGAAGCACCGGCUAACUAUGUGCCAGCAGCCGCGGUAAUACAUAGGGUGCAAGCGUUGUCCGGAAUUAUUGGGCGUAAAGAGCUCGUAGGUGGCUCGUCACGUCGAAUGUGAAACCCUGAGGCUCAACCUCAGGCCUGCAUCCGAUACGGGCGAACUGGAGUGUGGUAGGGGAGACUGGAAUUCCUGGUGUAGCGGUGGAAUGCGCAGAUAUCAGGAGGAACACCAAUGGCGAAGGCAGGUCUCUGGGCCACUACUGACACUGAGGAGCGAAAGCGUGGGGAGCAAACAGGAUUAGAUACCCUGGUAGUCCACGCUGUAAACGGUGGGCACUAGUUGUGGGAACCUUCCACGGUUUCUGCGACGCNGCUACGCGUAGUAGCCCGCCGUCGGGAGGUACGAGUCGCGAGAAGUUAAACUAACGAACGAAGUUAGACGGCGUGAGACGUAGCCGACGGACGACGACGAGGGAGGUUAGG